This 480-nucleotide ribosomal RNA is filed under the name uncultured bacterium. Its description in RNAcentral is "bacterial SSU rRNA". It matches the Rfam family "Bacterial small subunit ribosomal RNA", at positions 29 to 526 of the family's 1533-position model. The record is from RNAcentral.
AAUGAACGUUGGCGGCGUGGAUUAGGCAUGCAAGUCGUACGGGAGUAGCAAUACUUCAGUGGCGGAAGGGAUAGUAAUGUAUGGAUAACCUACCCUCAGGUCGUGGAUAGCGGCGGGAAACUACCGGUAAUACACGAUGAUAUCUCCGGAUCAAAGGUGUGAUUCCGCCGGAGGAUGGGUCCAUAUCCUAUUAGCUAGUUGGCAAGGUAACGGCUUACCAAGGCUCUGAUGGGUACCGGGCGUGAGAGCGUGACCCGGAUCACUGGGACUGAGACACUGCCCAGACACCUACGGGUGGCUGCAGUCGAGAAUCUUCGGCAAUGGACGAAAGUCUGACCGAGCGACGCCGCGUGCGGGACGAAGGCCUUCGGGUUGUAAACCGCUGUCAAGUUGGAGGAAAUGCGUGGGGGUCAUCCCCUGCGUUUGACCGAUAGCAAAAGGAAGGACGGGCUAAGUUCGUGCCAGCAGCCGCAGUAAUAC